Long non-coding RNA from Cyanistes caeruleus (blue tit), 704 nucleotides. RefSeq lists it as uncharacterized. Lineage: Eukaryota; Metazoa; Chordata; Aves; Passeriformes; Paridae. The record is from RefSeq and is a predicted model, not a curated record.
GCCGCGUCACGUCCAGGUUUUCACCCACCCCAGUCCUCCUCCUCAGGGCCACUCCCAAUCCACUCCCCUGCAUUCACCCUGGAUCAUUUUGAGUAGCAACGACAAAUCUACUUCAUUUUUCCCAAUAUAUGCAUUUUUUCCCCCGAGGAACUAUGGUGGAAAAGCUGUUUGGAAUAGCAGCCUGAAAAAUGCCAACCUUUAGCUGUGCUUCAAUCCUCCAAAGCCUCUGCAAUCCAAAGCAGGAAGGAUGUUGCAAAAAACAAGGACAAGAACAAAGGCUGAUGAGGAUGAAGAUGAGGAGAAAAGCAACUCCUUUUUUAUCUCCAAAAUCUCCUAAUUUUGGAGAGAAACAAUUAUUUUACUUGUAAAUAACUUAUACAAGGGGGGCUAUGCAGAGGUAUGCUUUGACACAUCAGAAUUAGGUAAAAAGCCAAAAACCAGGAAGUUUCAGACCAAAUUUUUUGGAGGGUGAUGGAAGACAAGAUUUGAUGUGAAAAGAAAACACUCACACUGCCUCUGAUUUGACCCAUUUGUCUGUUAAGGCAACAUAAACUGGAUUUUAAGUAAAUUCUUGCUUUCUCAGGUUUGCUUUCCCCACCCCCCAGUUAGGAACCAGGCCAUCAUGUGAUGGGCAAAUAGGAAAUGAAAUUUCCCAGCUCCAGCAUCUGAAUCAUCCAAAUGAAUUAGAAUUGAAGGUGAUUUUG